CUCGACGCCGUGCUGGAAUUGGAGUCGCUGGUUGAGGUGGGUAUCUCUCAUUCCUCCAUGGAUUUCUUCUCUACUUCAAGCUUCAUUGAAUCCGAGCUCGAGGUGCUUUUUUCACUGAUUUCCAGCGUCGACCGUCGGCGUUUCGGCUCCCUCUCGACGUAGGAGCAGCGGAUUUCGACAAGACUUGGUUCGUUGGAUUCGGGACUUCGAGAGGAAUCCACGAAGCCCUUACUUGCUGGUUUUGGUGGAGGUUUUCCUGAGUUUGGCAGGAGCGUGAUUUCUGGCCUUUGGAGGUUUGCGGAUUGAUCCAGCAGGGUGUUCCUUUGCUUCGGGACAUCCUCGCUGCUGGGGAUUAGCGACUAAGAGCCACAGGUUUCGGCUGCUGCGCCUUCCGCGGAUCAGGAUCGAGG
Molecule: long non-coding RNA, 410 nt
Organism: Ananas comosus (pineapple)
Lineage: Eukaryota; Viridiplantae; Streptophyta; Magnoliopsida; Poales; Bromeliaceae
Exons: 3
Source: RefSeq, a predicted model, not a curated record